This 253-nucleotide ribosomal RNA is filed under the name uncultured bacterium. Its description in RNAcentral is "partial 16S ribosomal RNA". It matches the Rfam family "Bacterial small subunit ribosomal RNA", at positions 524 to 776 of the family's 1533-position model. The record is from RNAcentral.
UACAGAGGCCCCAAGCGUUAGGCGGAAUCACUGGGCUUAAAGCGUGUGUAGGCGGAUCGUUAAGUGUCUUGUGAAAUCCCACGGCUCACCCGUGGAACUGCUGGGCAUACUGGCGAUCUUGGGCCAACUAGGGGCAGCCGGAACAAGCGGUGGAGCGGUGAAAUGCGUAGAUAUCGCUUGGAACGCCGAAGGUGAAAACAGGCUGCUGGGGUUGUGCCGACGCUGAGACACGAAAGCCAGGGGAGCAAACGGG